Non-coding RNA from Salvelinus sp. IW2-2015, 555 nucleotides. The record is from RefSeq and is a predicted model, not a curated record. NCBI's taxonomy places the organism in Eukaryota, Metazoa, Chordata, Actinopteri, Salmoniformes, Salmonidae.
AGUGACAAUUUUAGGCUACCAAAUCAGCCUGCAGGGAGUAAGGAAGGACGACAAGAAGGUAGAUGCGGUCAGGUCAUGGCCAGUCCCAACCACCAUAAAGGGGUUACAACGGUUUUUGGGGUUUGCCAACUUCUAAUGCCGUUUCAUCAGGAAUUUCAGCUCCGUUGCCUCACCUCUCUCCUCAAGGGUGGCCCCCGUAGGUUGGUGUGGCCUAUGCCGUCAGAUCUCUACUGGACUCCCGACGUCGUGGGGUUCGGCUCCAGUACCUGGUGGACUGGGAGGGGUAUGAACCCAGAGGAGCGCCGUUGGGUUCCGGUGGAGGACAUUCUGGAUCCCAACAUCAUCCUUGAUUUCCACCUUCGCCUCCCGGACCGGGAUUCAUCAUUACGCACGCCUGGCAUCAGUCAUUACACGCACCUGCACGUCAUCAUGAGACACACCUGGACUCCAUUACCUCCCCUAUAUCUUUCCCCAGUCAGUAUUGUUCCUGUGUUUAUGUGUAGAUGCUACUGUUGUCUCGUUCCAUGUUUUAUUAAACGUUUCACCUGUACCUGC